UACGUAGGGGGCAAGCGUUGUCCGGAUUUAUUGGGCGUAAAGAGCGUGUAGGCGGCCAGGUAGGUCCGGUGUGAAAACUCGAGGCUCAACCUCGAGACGUCGAUGGAAACCAUCUGGCUAGAGUCCGGAAGAGGAGAGUGGAAUUCCUGGUGUAGCGGUGAAAUGCGUAGAUAUCUGGAGGAACAUCGGUGGCGAAGGCGGCAGCCUGGACCGGUAUUGACGCUGAGGCGCGAAAGCCAGGGGAGCAAACGGG
Molecule: ribosomal RNA, 253 nt
Filed under: uncultured bacterium
Lineage: Bacteria
Description: partial 16S ribosomal RNA
Rfam family: Bacterial small subunit ribosomal RNA
Source: RNAcentral